RNAcentral lists this ribosomal RNA (498 nucleotides) under uncultured bacterium. RNAcentral describes it as "partial 16S ribosomal RNA". It matches the Rfam family "Bacterial small subunit ribosomal RNA", at positions 30 to 523 of the family's 1533-position model. The record is from RNAcentral.
AUUGAACGCUGGCGGCAUGCCUUACACAUGCAAGUCGAACGGUAACAGGUCUUCGGAUGCUGACGAGUGGCGAACGGGUGAGUAAUACAUCGGAACGUGCCUAGUAGUGGGGGAUAACUACUCGAAAGAGUGGCUAAUACCGCAUGAGAUCUACGGAUGAAAGCAGGGGAUCGCAAGACCUUGUGCUACUAGAGCGGCCGAUGGCAGAUUAGGUAGUUGGUGGGAUAAAAGCUUACCAAGCCGACGAUCUGUAGCUGGUCUGAGAGGACGAUCAGCCACACUGGGACUGAGACACGGCCCAGACUCCUACGGGAGGCAGAAGUGGGGAAUUUUGGACAAUGGGCACAAGCCUGAUCCAGCAAUGCCGCGUGCAGGAUGAAGGCCUUCGGGUUGUAAACUGCUUUUGUACGGAACGAAAAGCUCUGGGUUAAUACCCUGGGGUCAUGACGGUACCGUAAGAAUAAGCACCGGCUAACUACGUGCCAGCCGCCGCCGUAA